This 75-nucleotide transfer RNA is filed under the name Candidatus Woesebacteria bacterium. RNAcentral's name for it is "tRNA-Asn". It matches the Rfam family "tRNA". Rfam says of the family: Transfer RNA (tRNA) molecules are approximately 80 nucleotides in length. Lineage: Bacteria; Candidatus Woeseibacteriota. The record is from RNAcentral.
UCCCCGGUAGCUCAGUGGUAGAGCAGAAAGCUGUUAACUUUAAGGUCGUAGGUUCGAAUCCUACCCGGGGAGCCG